Molecule: long non-coding RNA, 6006 nt
Organism: Musa acuminata AAA Group (dessert banana)
Lineage: Eukaryota; Viridiplantae; Streptophyta; Magnoliopsida; Zingiberales; Musaceae
Exons: 3
Source: RefSeq, a predicted model, not a curated record
UCUAACAUAUAUUUUAUCGGUUCUAUUUUUUUUACUACUACGGAAUGGGGGAGUAGGCAAGGCAUCGCGUCGGAGCCCGAGAUUUCGGUGGAAUCACAGGAGAAUCUGCCGCUCCAAAUCGGUGGCAAGGCCAUCUGGAUCUCGGCCGACCACGCAUCGCCGGGAGGCUCAGUGCUGCUGCUAGAGACAACGCGGGAGGCAGGAAUCUCGCCUCCUGACCGGCAUCAGAUGGUGAUUUCAUCGGGGUUCCCUAUAGGUGCCAGAGCAAGGGCGAGGAGCCAAACCAUGCGUUGAGGAUACGCAACUAAAUGACCGCAAUGCCACCGACGUGCUCUCUCACAACUAAACCUCGUAGACUUGCUUGAUGCCAUCCUUGGCUCAGUUGUAGCCUUGACCAGACUUAGCGGGCGAGCGUGGUGUUUGCCUUCUUCACCUCCCUCGAGCGCUGCUCCUGCAUCAACCUCGGCACUGCCGAGGAUGUCAACGAUGAAACCGAGGAGGCCAAGGACCGACCCCUCUUUCUCACAAAGCCCAUCCUCCACCGAGAGGAUCCCAAACACUCCUGUCUAGUGGCCAUCCUCAUGGAAACCUAAAUCCUUGAAAUCGAUUGAAUGAUUAUGGAGCAUUUCCUAUAAGGAAACUAGCUACAACCUUGUGUCAUCUACCUACUGGAGGAGUAGGAUUUGUGAGUAUAUGCAAUGGUUAAUUCAUAACCAGUCAUUGAACCGUAUGUAAAUUUCGAUUGUACCCUAAGCUAUUACUAAAAUCAAGUUUUAUUAGUAAUUUGCAUCUGCAAGCCUUUCUGAAAUAGUAGGGAUAUAAAUGUCAGUGGAAAAGUUAUUCUUAACAUACUGAAUAACCAAAUUUAGUGCAUGCUGGAUUUUGACUUUUCUUCACCAAGCAUUUCUUACUUUUAUUGCUCAACUACAUAUUUUGUUUUCCUGGCAACUAUUGUUUAUCAGGCUAGGAAUUUUAGAUGCCUAAACAAAACUAUUGCUUGCAAAAUCUUGUGUACUUCCCUUUGGUACUAUUCUUCAUGCCCGAAGAUAUGUUGUAUUUCUCCAUUCCAAUUAUAUUGAAGCCCCACAAGCUAAAUUGCUUAGCUGAUGGGUAUGGUGGGGAAUAUGUAGUUUAUUGAUGAGAUUUAAUGGAUGUUUAACACGCUUUUUCCCUCCACUUACUAGAGUAACGAUGAUCAAUUAUGUAUCACAACAUAGUUGAUAAACUGGUGGUGUUAAAAUUAUACUCUAUAAACCUUUUGAGUCACUAUUGUAUGAGAAUAGCUCUUGUAUUAGGGAAACGAAGUUGGUCCUACCUGAUGGCCAUAAUUGUUACAUCUGAAAUCUUGAAGAUGUUCAAGAUAUGCCUGUUCAUCUACAUAUUUGGAUAAUUUAUUCAUAUUAUACUUAUAUUUUCGGUGUUAUUUACCAUGCUCUUAAUUUUUUUAUAUUCUGCUGGAAUCAUUUUAAAUUAGUUUUGCAAUUACAUAGUUCGAUGAUGCGAUUCUCCUUUAGUUAUAAAUAUAUUGAUGCUACUCUCCUCUAACAUGAAUGUAGUGUUAUGAUAUGAUUCCAGAAUGAUUGUUUUUUCUAUUUAAGAUUUCCCUAUAAAGGUUACAUUGUCAAUUGGUGUACGGUGGUCAUGUAUUGUUGGAGUCAAAUUUUAAUAAGACAAUUAAAUAGCCCACAUUGUUUAUAAUGAUCUUUUAUACUCAUUACAAUUGUCAUAUUUUUCUUUUGUUAAGGUGUGGUAACAUUCCAUGAUUUCUUAGACUCUGUAAUUAUAAGUUAUUAAUUCAAUCUCUGGUAGAAAUGAACUGACUACUACAUAGAACACUUCCAAAUUAUAUUAGCAUACCUUUCAUGAUUCAUUUAACUUUGUUUUUGAUGUAAUGGAUAGUUUGGUUGUAUUUGUCUCUAAUUGGCAGAAAGGAACACUGGGUGAAGGGAUUAUUAUUGUUCUAUAUACACUAUAAAAUAUAUCCAUGGGUAAACUCCUUAAGGGUCACAUUUUGCUUAUCUUUCCUGGAACUUUGAAUGUGGAUCUGGAGACUGAAGCUUUAGUCUGGUUCCAGUGGAUCAGUUUCAGCAUUGACAAGUGGUCACAAGCUUUUUCAAGUCUUUCAUCCUUACUUCCUUGCUACUUCAAUGGAUGACAUGACAUUGAGGACCCACUGAAAUAUCAAUAAGUUAUUUUAUUUGUGGAGAUGUGACAUGAAAGAGACUCAUGGGAUUGACUUACCAGAUACCCCUAAUUUUUUCCUCAAAUGAUCGUUAGAUAUGGUAAGUCAACUUGCCACCUUUCUUAGAUGGUACCUAACUAAUAAAAAAGUAUUAAUAAAUUUUUUUCUUGUGGUCCACUUAGGUUUUCUAGCAAUGAUUCUGCAAUGAAAAUGAUGUUAUCAACCAAACAUUUUUUUUUCCAAUACAUGUGAAUAUAUGUGUAAAUUCAUUAAUCAUGAUUUUCUGUCAUGUUUUAAAUUAAAUGACACAUUUUUAUGUCUAAUUUCUGUUGACCUAUGGCUGAUGUAACAAAAAUUACAAUAAGCAAGUAUAGCCAUUACUAUAUUACUAUAAAAUUUGAUCAAUUCAUAAAAAGACACAUGAUGAUAUGUUUCUCUUGUAUUAUAAGUAUAUGUAGAGUUUUGGUCAACAUAUUAUUAUAAGUUUUUGCUCUACUCUUAUCAUGUAAGUAUGUGAUCAUGAUUGGUAUUAAACGUUAUGAGUGAUAUAUUUUAUAUUUGUCGUUUUUCCUUUCAAAGUAAUUUUUUUUAGCUAUCUGCAGAUGAAGUGCAAAGUAAUGAAAGAAACAUCUGAAUGAUAAAAUUAUAUCUUGAUUGACAUAUAUAGUUGCAUUGUUAACUUUUAUAACAUUUGAAACGUGGGGGCAUAAAUUAAAAUAAAAGAUCCUUUUUAGAAUUGCUUUCUUUAUUUUCUAAAAUGGAUGAUAACUUCUCCAUAUGCAAAUUUUAUUUGAACAAUAUAUACAUGUUCCCUUGUCAUUUAAAUGAAAUACUUGGGUUUUGUAUCUUAGCGUGCAUGUAUUAUGUUUUCUAAUUCUUUUUUUUUUCUUAAAAAAAAUAAGCUUCCAUGUAAAUCUAUGACUGCAACGUAGCUACAAUGACCUUGAUCACUAGAACCAUCAUUGUUUUUUAAUACCUUAAAAUGGUAAUGAUUCAUGAAUGCCUUGAAAUUAUAAUUUACUUCUUAGUACUUCAUUUCUCUCUUAUUUGAUACCUUGAAUGUCUUGAAAUGGUAAAAAAAAUUACUCAUUUAAAAUUUACAUCUUAGUACCUCAUUUCUCUCUUUAUUUAUUCAUCAUAAUUCCCCAAAUCCCAUGUCAUGAUAUGUAUAUUAGUCACCAUGCUAUAACUUUGACAUUAUUUUAAGUUGUGAUGAAUUUAUUUAAAAAUCAUUAAUCUGGUAUGUUUAAGAGGAGAAUAUAUGCAAAUUUUCAUGGUUUUAAGUAUUUAAUGGUUUCUUUUCUAAUUGUUAUGUGGUUCAUUUUGUAAGAACUUCAUGAUUAUCCAUUUAAAGUAGUAUAUGUUAACUUGAUGUGGGGGAGUACUCAUGGUAGUCUCCAUGCUGCAUGUGGUAGAUUGUUGGUAAGUUUUGGUGGUUGGCACGGUGCAAGAAUAUCAAAACAAGUGACAAAUUCAAAUAAUCUUGAUUUGCACUUGCUGAUUAUUUCAUGUUUAGCAGUUUGAUUCCAAUGUAGUCAUGAUUUAUUUUACUUUUGAAUUUGAGGCUUUUUCUGUUAUCUUAUCCCUUCAAAUUAUGUGGUUAAAUAAUUAAAAUUGUUAGAUGUUUGAUGCUUAUGGUAAUCAAAUUGAAGAAGGUAUAGCAGUGUUCAUUCUUGUGCAUCCUAUUUUAUAUAUUUUUUUAUUGUCAAUCUAACGACUUAUUUUUAUGUAAGUAUGUAACUAUGACCUCAUUUAGAUGCAAAAGAUAAUGUAGAAGAGAGUGCCUAGGAAUGAAGAAAAAAGAACAUAGAAGUAUAUCUUUUUUUAUCCUUAAUACAGGAUGCAAAAGACAAUGUAGUAAUUUUGAUUUUGAUAUGACAUGGACUUUGUGAUUGUAUGAACUUUAAUAUUGACUCUUAGACAAAAUAAUGUGGAUUUUGUGAUUGUAUUAUCUUUAAUAUUCAUGUGGAUGUUUUCGUUAUAAAAAAUUCUGAUAUGAUUUUAAAAUUAUUAAAAAUUCAGAGGUUGUCAAGAAAAUUAUUAUUGACAGUUUUUGUUGAUAAUAUGUCACUAGUGUACUUUAUCACUAAUGUUGUUUUUGUUAAUAGCUUGUCGCUAAUGAACUACCUCACUAAUAUUAUUUUUGUCAAAAUAAAUACUAGUGAUAGAUCCAAGUAAUUGUCACUGAAGCUUUUUAUCUAAAAUUUUAGUGACAGAUUAGUUAUCAUUGAAUUAUCAUCAUUAUUUUCAUUAAUUAGAAAUUAGUGACAGAUCAAGCUGUCACUAAAAUUUUUUGUCAUGACAUUUAAUGACAGAAUCAUCCUUCACCAAAUAUUGUCACAUACAUUACCUUGUCAAUUUAUUUAUUUAUUUUUAAUGAUAGAAUUUGAGUAUAUUAAUAAAAAAAUAAGUCAUUAAAAUUUAUAAUUUUGUGAUAAGUGUGCCUAUUGUGUUCGCUAAAGCUUUCAAUCAUGAUACUUAGGUCGACUGAAGUUGGUGAUAGCUCGCAUCGUCACUAAUUCUUUUAGUGAUAUUUUUUUAACUUUUGGUGAUAAUUUUCAUCCAUUACUAAUGAGCAAGUUGAAAUUUAUGUUCAAAAGUAUACUUUAAGGGGAGGACUAAAGUUUAAAGUUAUAUCUUUUAAAGGAUCUUAAGAUUUUUAUCUUCUAGAUAAAUUGAUUAGAUAGAGUUUUAAUUGAUUAAAAUAAAAGAUGUGAUAAUAUUCUCUUAGUUUAAGGUGUUAUUUUACACUUAUAAAUAGAUGAUACCAUAGAUGUGUAGAUUUAUUCAAGUCUCAAGCAUCCAAGCAUAUAGGACUCAAGUCUAGAGUUAGAUCAAGAUCUUGUGAGUUUUUUUUUUUUUUUUUUCAUCUUGAUUUCUUCUUUUUUAUUUGGUUUAAUCUUGGACUAAUAGUACUUUAUUAUUAUUAUUUAAGAAAGGAUUAUAAUUAUAUGUGAUCCUCUCUUUCUUCACGAUAAUAAUAAUAUCAAAGUUGUAGUAGUAAGAAUCAAAUAUAAGGUUAUCCCGUAGAGUAAUUCCAUCCAAUAACUCCAGUUGGAUCAGGCAGUUAUUUCCUAAAGCUUUUGAGCAUCUUAAGAAUGGUUUUUUUCGAUUGAUUAGACCUGGGACUUCCACUGACAUUUAUUCUGAGUCCUGGAUAUUCGAAAUGCCUUUUUAUUCAAGCCUACUUCCUUCGAUAUCUCUUCUGGCAUGGAUUUUGAAUCAUUCAUGACACUAUUUGGUUCCCUAAGUCCCCAAGGAAGAUACAUGGCAUUGGAGGCAUAAUGUGCAUGACAAAUCUUCUAUCAUAUCUGCCUUCAAAUUUCUUCCACCCUUUGCAGGUUCAAGCCUUCCAUCAGUUGGCACGGAUGGCACCGUGCUUGGAGACUUUUCAUCGUUUCUCAGCUUAAAGUAGGGGGUGCAUCUUGACCACUUUUCUAUUUGGAUGAUGUCCUCCUGCAAGCGCUGUUGGGGCUUUUUAUUGCCAUUGUUUUUUGGUUUCUUCGGAAGGAGAUUAAGCAACCAUAAUAUGAGGUAUUAAAGAGGGCAUUCAGGCUGCUUUUGGAAUUGGGAUUCAAUUGCUGCUCCACGCUGAGCCUGAUUCCAUGGCUAUGGUGGAUUGUCUCAAAUACACUGCUGCAAAUGUUAUCAACGUUAGGUUAUCCAUCUUUCGUGAGGGUAAUUGUCCUGCUAACUAAGCUUACAAACCACACGAGCUGUCGUCAAUUUUUGUACUUGGUCAUCCGGUUUGUAGUGAUGCCAUUGGAGAUACGUGUAGUAGACAUGCUUAAUCCUCCUUAAUACAAGCUCUAUUUUUUAUUGGA